GACGAACGCUGGCGGCGUGCUUAACACAUGCAAGUCGAACGGAAAGGCCCACUUGUGGGGUGGUUGAGUGGCGAAAGGGUGAGUAACACGUUAGUAAUCUACCUGUGACUUUGGGAUAACUUCAGGAAACGGGGGCUAAUACCGGAUAGGAGCUCCUGGUGAAUGGUGGGGGUUGGAACGUUUCGGCGGUUGGGGAUGGACUCGCGGGUUAUCAGCUUGUUGGUGGGGUAAUGGCUAACAAAGGCUUUGCCGGGUACGCGGCCUGGGAGGGUGACCGGCGACAUGGGUACUGAGAGACGGCCCAGACUCCUACGUUAGGCAGCAGUGGAGAGUAUUGCACAAUGGGCGGAAGCCUGAUGCAGCAACGCCGCGUGCGGGAUGACGGCCUUCGCGUUGUAAACCGCUUUCGCCUGUGACGAAGCGUGAGUGACGGUAAUGGCUAAAGAAGCACCGGCUAACUACGUG
This 465-nucleotide ribosomal RNA is filed under the name uncultured bacterium. RNAcentral's name for it is "partial 16S ribosomal RNA". It matches the Rfam family "Bacterial small subunit ribosomal RNA", at positions 28 to 507 of the family's 1533-position model. The record is from RNAcentral.